GCUUAUCGACCAGUAAGAUUUAACUACAUUACCUACGUAAUGGUCUUUUAUGACGAGAACAAGGUUUGUCAACCCCUGUUUGACAGGCAUUCCAUCCCAAGUCUGGCUCUGAACCCUCUGACCAUGCAGCCGGACAGAAGCAGACAACAA
Long non-coding RNA from Cottoperca gobio, 150 nucleotides. RefSeq lists it as uncharacterized. NCBI's taxonomy places the organism in Eukaryota, Metazoa, Chordata, Actinopteri, Perciformes, Bovichtidae. The record is from RefSeq and is a predicted model, not a curated record. The transcript has 3 exons.